RNAcentral lists this ribosomal RNA (117 nucleotides) under Candidatus Zymogenaceae bacterium. Lineage: Bacteria; Deltaproteobacteria; Candidatus Zymogeniales; Candidatus Zymogenaceae. The record is from RNAcentral.
UUCGGUGGCUAUGGCGGUGGGGUCACACCUCUUCCCAUCCCGAACAGAGAAGUUAAGCUCACCAGCGCCGAUGGUACUGCACGGGUAACCGUGUGGGAGAGUAGGUCGCCGCCGAAU